This is a long non-coding RNA of Gorilla gorilla gorilla (western lowland gorilla), 7177 nucleotides long. RefSeq lists it as uncharacterized. NCBI's taxonomy places the organism in Eukaryota, Metazoa, Chordata, Mammalia, Primates, Hominidae. The transcript is spliced from 9 exons. The record is from RefSeq and is a predicted model, not a curated record.
CUCUUAUAUAGCUAUUUAUUUAUUUUUUUGAGAUAGGGCAGGCAAUACUCUGGUAACAAACCAUCCACAAAUCUCAGUGGAUAAAAACAUAAAAUCAUUGCAUAUUGCAUUAAGCUGCAUUGAAAACCCAGUAAGAAAUUUGGUGUAAAUAAAAUGAAAUAAAAAUGGGAAAAAUAAAGUCCUUAAGAUCAUUGUAUUAGGAAAAAAUGUCUACUGACUUCUUGACAACAACAGGACUUAUUUAUUUAUUUAUUUAUUUAUUUAUUUAUUUAUUUAUUUAUUUUGAGACAGCGUCUCUUUCUGCAGCCCAUGCUGGAGUGCACUGGCGCGAUCUUGGCUCACUGCAGCCUUGACCUCUGGAGCUCAAGUGAUCCUCUCAUUUCAGCCUCCAAGUAGCUGGGACCACAGCACAGUGACCCAUGAUAUUCAAGGUGGUGGCUGCUUUGUCAGAUGAAUUCCUGAGUGACCAUAAGCAGAGAUCUCCUAACGACCCAUGAUGGGUAGUGUGAGCAAGUAUGAGCCGUCUAGUGGAGCAAGAAAUAGUGCCUAUAUAAGCACUGAGAUUUGAAGAUGGUUUGUUACCAGAGAAUUGCCUACCUUAUCCUGACUGAUAAUCAGAUGUAAUAAUAUACCUCUGACUGGUGUUGGCUCCAUCAUACACCAGGGAAACAGCUGUUGUCUAGUACUUAUAACAUGUAACUCAAAACCCCUGGUUUAAAUGAAUUCCUGAGUGCAUUAUGCAUAACAUUUGUAUAACUGGCUUUUGUAAACAAGACAUUGCUAUAGUUCUUCACAGAAUUAUGCUAAUAUCGAUAGAUUAUUCUUCAUUUAUCUUUAUCUGUUCUGAGCGACUGAAAGAGGAAAGAUUUGUUAUGAGAACACAUAAAUACAGUAUCAUGAAAGGGAAAGAAAAAGUUCUGUUUUGCGGAAGGCAUUAGUCCCCUUUGUUAGUCAAAUGAAGAGAGACUAUUCAUUAUACUUUAAUCUUAAGGAAUCCAAGAUUGCUAAACUAAUGGAUGACAUGUGACUAAGGAAUGAAUUAGUUGAACUUUAUUCUAUGAGUUGCCACCAUGAACUGUGCCAGGUCCUUUAAAUGCUUUGAAUGUUUUUCAUGCAUGGAUAAGAUUAUUUCAGACCUACCAGGCCUUGAAGAAGGAUCAAAGUCUUGUCAGAGCUUUUGCCUAAAAUUGAAAAUAUCAUGUUACUUGGAUUAUUUAUUUAUCCCUGCACCUUGUUGCAAAAAGGAUUUUAAGUAGAUGGCAUAUUAUUAUUUUAUUAACACGUUAAAAAAAAACCCAUAAGAGGAUUAUAGAGUUUUUCCCUAUCCUACUUCUCAGAGUGUUUUAAGCACACUGUAGAAUUUAUUCACUCAUGAAUUUGAUACAAACUAAAGUGAAAAUCUCUUCUCUGGAACCUCAUAGUGCUUAGAAAGCAUAGUAACACGUUCAGAGAAAGAGGAAGAUCAAAUUUAGAGGAAGCUCGUGUUUGAGUUUCUGCCACAAUGAGUUUCCCAUUCUAGAUAUUAAAAUAAUAGUAUAUACCCCAAAUAAAAUACUCAAGUUUCUGUAAAUUAAGGAUUAUGACUUGAUUAUACAUAUUUUAGAUUUAGAGCAUGCAUAAAAAAUAUCUUUUUCACCAACUAGUAGAAAAAAAUUUGAAAUGUGAUGAUUUUAAUCUUUCAUGAUAUGUAAUCUAAAAUAUCAAAACAUCACUGACUUUGCAUUAUAAUUAAAUAUAAAAGGUGACUGACUUAAGCCAAAUUUAAAAAAAAAAUUGAGACAAGGUCUGUGUCACCAGAGGUGUUAAGCAGUAGUGCAAACACAGCUCACUGCAGCAUUGACCUCCCGGGCUCAAACUCUCCUCCCAUCUCAGCCUCCCAGGCAGCUGAGAUCACAGAUACACACCACCACACCCAGAUAAUUUUUUUUUUUUAAGUAAGGACAAAAUCUCACUAUGUUGUCCAGGUUCCAAAUAAAUUUUAAGAGCCUAAUUUUAACUAUUCAAAAACUAAGCAAAUACCUGAAAAUUAUUUCUUCUGAAAAACACAUACUAAAUAAAAAUCUACUAUACUUAUGGAUUUUCAGAGGUCUUCAUAAAUAUUAACUCAUAAAUUCUUGUGGCUUUCCCAAUUGUCACAUGUCUCCUUUCAUGAAAUAUUUUGUAAAUUUUUACUAUGGUAUUGGACAGAGCAUGAACCUCAGAAUUGCCCAAAUCUGAGUUCACCGACUUAAUCAAGCACAUAUUAUUAAUAUAUAACCUUGGAUAAUUUAUCAAUUUAAACUGAAGAGCUUUAUCUUCAACAUUUCUAAAUUAUGCGUGUUAUAAACAAUAAAUCAGGUUAUUCCAUUACAUUUAAUAACUAGCAACCCACACUGUGAUAAGUGUCAGUAAUGCAACAGCAUGGUAAUAUAUAGGCAAAGCACCAACCAGAAAUUAAGUAUCUGUUGAAUUUCUCUCUACUCUCCUUUUCCCUCAACCAAUUCCUGAAUAAAUGGAGGGAGAAACAGGAAUGUUUUAAGAAAUCUUCUUCAACUAAUAUGAAAUAGGAUAUCUGAAGACUCACCCUUCUGUCUUCCUAGUCUAUAGUUUGUUCCACAGCUAUUUUUGUGACUAAAGAUACUAAAAUUAGACAUUACUUUUAUCUCUAAAUUUCAAGGCAGUUGUUAAGAACUAUGACUAAACUACCAAAAUAAAGAAACAUAGAGGAAUAAUGAACAUUGACUACAAACUAAACUGAUUGUCACAUAUUCUAUGUGGUGAUUUGAGAGACUGCUUCUCAUACACUGUAAUUCAAUGAAAAAAGUAGCAUAUACAAAAUGAUUACUUAGUAAGAAAAAUUCAAACUUAAAACGAGUUGUCAAUGUGACAUGCCAUGUUAGAAAUGAAUAAUAAAAUGUGUGCCAAGGGCUAAGUAAGGCAUUUUUCCCUUUUUUUCUCUUUUAAAAAGUACUACAAAAGAGCAGUUUUUUUGGUUAAAAGAAUUAAUGAAAAUUGCUAAGUCAAUGACGCUUUCAGAAGUUCCCUGUUUUUGACAUCAGAGUCAUAUUAUAAUGCUCUAUUUUCUGUUUCCUCACCUAAAUAGAAUUUUGCUUGAGGUAAUUUUUUAUCUGAACUUCUGUUUGUAGAAACCAGGGAUAUUUAUUGAAUUGUUUCUGGCUGGCUAUUUGAUCGUAACAAAGCAUUUAAAUGGUACUGAUCCCCUGGCUUGAGCAACGGAGCAUCCCAGACUUUCAGUUAGUUGCACACAGCACACAUACAACUCAUUUGAGUUACAGCUAAAUGCAAUUACAGGCCUCAGAGCUAAUAUAUAGAUCACUUCUUAUUUAAGGCAAUUCACCUUUGAAUUGGUUAACCUUUAAUUGUUUACAAAAUACUAAGAUGGGAAACAAAGUUGCUACCCAAUAUGUCAGUUUCCCCAAAUAAACACUUAUUUAAAGGUUCAUUUGUUAAUCAAGUAUCUGGAAGUUGAAAUACAUUUUUAUGAAAGGAAAUAAAUUUUAGGUGAUGAUUAGGUUUUUAUCAAGAGCUGAAGUUUUUAAUAAUGGACAGGGAGAGAUACUAUGGCAAAACAGUAAUUGAAUAAAACAUAAAUUCCAUAAAAUGAUAUGAAAAAUCAAUGACAUUUAUCCUGAGUCAAAUAUAAAGAGAAUUAAAUUGAGGAUGAUAAAAUGUUUCUAAUCAUUGUUCCACCAGUAUUUGACCUUGAGCAAACUGCCUGGGGGCCAUAUUUGGUAGACAGAUGAGGAUGUACACUUUCUUUUAAAUACUUGAGAAUUAGCUUGAGUGCUAUCAUUUGAUAACUUGCUCGGUAUUUCAUAAAUGCCAGGAAAUUAACUCAAAUCCUUUGAUGAGCUGCAUUUUCUGUAUUCAAUUUGUGUAAGUUCAACAAAUAUUUAUUGAGGGUCUUCCAUAUGCUGGGUAUGUGUCUUCGCAAAAUAAAGUACAUUAUGAAAGAUGUGAUGCUCAAUAGUAUAUCAUCAGUGAAUUGCAAAUUAAAAUCUAAAUGAGAUAUCACUAUAUAUCCACUGGAUUGUCUAAUAUUUUAAAGUUGUCAGUAUUAAAUAUUGGGAAAAAUGUGGAGCAGCUGGAACACUCAUACAUUGCCAGUGGGAGAUUAAAAUGGUGCAGCACUUUGUAAAGCUAAACAUAUAUUUACUAUACUACCCAAUAAUACCACUAAGUAUUUACGAAGAGAAAACAAUUGUCUACACAAAGACUUGUACAUGAAUGUUCACAGUAGCUUUAUUCAUCAUAGCUAAAAACUGGAAACAACUCAAAAACAGAAAAGUAAAUUGAUGAGCAAAUUGUGGUAUAUCAAUUUAAUGGGAUACCAUCCAACAAUGAAAUAAAUAAUGAAUGAUAACACUGAUUGACAUCAAUAAUUUCAAAAUCAUUAUCCUAUGUUAAUGAAGCCAGACACAAAUAAGUACUUUGUAUAUUAUUUUAUUUGCAUAAAAAUUUAUAACAGGAAAAUCUAAUCUAUAAUGGCAAAAAGUAGAUUCGUGGUUGUCUGAGCUAAGGGUAGAGGAAGAUUGAUGGACUGCAAAAUGCAAAAGGGAACUCCUUGAGGGUGAUGGAAAUAGUCUAUAUCCUGAUUAGCAAGGUGGUUACAUGCAUGUAUACCUUUCUCAAAACUCAUAGAACAUACACUUAAAAUGUGCAGUGCUGGCUGGGUGCAGUGGUAUGGCUCACACCAAUAAUGAACAGGGAGAGAUACUAUGGCAAAACAGUAAUUGAAUAAAACAUAAAUUCAAUAAAAUGAUAUGAAAAAUCAAUGUUUGACAUUUAUCCUGAGUCAAAUAUAAAGAGAAUUAAAUUGAGGAUGAUAAAAUGUUUCUAAUCAUUGUUCCACCAGUAUGUGACCUUGAGCAAACUGCCUGGGGGCCAUAUUUGGUAGACAGAUGAGGAUGUACACAGUGGUAUAGCUCAUACCACUGCACCCAGCCAGCACUGCACAAUAAAUGUCAAACAUUGAUUUUUCAUAUCAUUUUAUGGAAUUUAUGUUUUAUUCAAUUACUGUUUUGCCAUAGUAUCUCUCCCUGUCCAUUAUUAAAAACUUCAGCUCUUGAUAAAAACCUAAUCAUCACCUAAAAUUUAUUUCCUUUCAUAAAAAUGUAUUUCAACUUCCAGAUACUUGAUUAACAAAUGAACCUUUAAAUAAGUGUUUAUUUGGGGAAACUAACAUAUUGGGUAGCAACUUUGUUUCCCAUCUUAUUAUUUUAUAAACAAUUAAAGGUUAACCAAUUCAAAGGUGAAUUGCCUUAAAUAAGAAGUGAUCUAUAUAUUAGCUCUGAGGCCUGUAAUUGCAUUUAGCUGUAACUCAAAUGAGUUGUAUGUGUGCUGUGUGCAACUAACUGAAAGUCUGGGAUGCUCCGUUGCUCAAGCCAGGGGAUCAGUACCAUUUAAAUGCUUUGUUACGAUCAAAUAGCCAGCCAGAAACAAUUCAAUAAAUGUCCCUGGUUUCUACAAACAGAAGUUCAGAUAAAAAAUUACCUCAAGCAAAAUUCUAUUUAGGUGAGGAAACAGAAAAUAGAGCAUUGUAAUAUGACUCUGAUGUCAAAAACAGGGAACUUCUGAAAGCGACACUGAUUUAGCAAUUUUCAUUAAUUUUUUUUAGUCCUCUACGACCGGCAGCUAGCAACUUGACAGGAAAAUACAGGAACCUGAAUAAACCUGACCCGUCUUCAGCAUCGUUUAUAUACUGCGGUUAUGCCCACGGAGGUUCCUGGACUGCAUGUUUUGAUUGGAUGAGAAAAAACCUCCAGGCUUACUCUGAUUGGACUUUAUUAUCAUGUUCUGAUUGGUUGAGAGCAAGUCUUAACACAGCCAAUCACAGCAUGAAAAUAAAGUCCAAUCAGAGUAGGCCUAGAGGUUUUUCUCUCGUCCAAUCAGAACAUGUAGUCCAGGAAACGCAUUUGCAUAACCUCAGUAUAUAAAGCAUGCUGAGGUCGCAUCACGUCAUUUCAAGCUCUUGUGUAUGGAGGGAAGGAGCUACCCUGUGACCGGCUUAGAGAACUGGAAGAGACCGCAACCUUCCUUCUGCUUGAGGUUGGAGGAUGGAUGGAGCCUGGAGCCCUGGAGCGUGGGACACUGUUUCGCUGUGGUUGGUGGUGGCGACAGAGCAGUAGGAGAGCGGCCGGCAGCGGGAGCUUCUCCUGCUAGGCUGGAGGACUAGGAGAAGGAAGAGGCACUGCCACAUGCUGGAGGCUGGAGCCUGUGCCACUGUGGCUGGCCUCGCUGUGGUUGGCUCGCCUCGCUGUGGUUGGCUCGCCUCGCUGUGGUUGGUGGUGACGUCGGAGACUGCAGCUCGGCCACAGUGGUAGAAAUGUGAUGGGGUAGUGGUACAUGAUCAGCAUUGUCCACAUUUACAAUCGAUGGAGGAACAAUGAAAUUCAGUGUUACGUUAAUGGACAACUGGUAUCUUAUGGUGAUAUGGCUUGGCAUGUUAACACAAAUGAUAGCUAUGACAAGUGCUUUCGUGGAUCAUCAGAAACUGCUGAUGCAAAUAGCGUAUUCUGUGCUCAACCUGUUGCGGUUCAGUGAAGCACUCAGCCCAGCACAGAUACUUGCAAUUCAUCAGUUAGGACCUAGAUAUAAGGGAAGUUGGAAAUAGGCAAGAAUGGAGAGAAAUUUUGUAUGGCAGUACACAGAAUUUUGCAAGUUUUUUGUGAGCCCUGCAACAAUCCGAUGCAUUUUAGUUACUGUGCUACUCUUUCGACAUUCCUGGUUGAACUACUUAAAAGUUCAGUAGCCAUGCAAGAACAGGUGCUGGGUGGAAAAGGCUUUUUAGUUAUUGGCUAAUUACUUGAAAAGUCAUCAAGAGUUCAUGUAACUAGACCUGUCUUGGAGCAAUUUUUAUCUUUUGCAAAAUACCUUGGUGGUUUAUCUCAUGGAGCACCUUUGCUGAAGCAGCUUUGUGAUCAUAUUUUGUUUAUUAACCCAGCCAUCUGGAUACAUACACCUGCAAAGGUUCAACUUUGCCUAUAUACAUGUUUGUCUGCUGAAUUUAUUGGAACUGCUACCAUCUACACCACCAUACGCAGAAUAGGAACAGUAUUAAAGAUAAUGCACACCUUAAAAUAUUACUACUGGGUUAUUAAUCCUGCUGACAGUAGUGGCAUUACACCUAAAGGAUUAGAUUUUGGCAAUUAUGAAUAGAGCUACCAUGAACACCCAG